UAUUGUGUGUUUUCUGGUCAUGCAGGACAGUCGGAGAACAAACGCCUCCGGAAACCAACAAAGAGACUGCUGGAGUCGACUGAGGAGUACGAACAAAUGUUCUCCUCGAAAAAGAGGUUGAAGAAACACGGCUCUGAAUCCUCUAAAAUGGUGAGAUGCUCUUAUUUCUGCCCAGAACAGAUUUCUUUUAUUAAAGAGCAACAUCAGAGCCAGUAGUUGUCAUGCACGGUGUGAAAUGUAUCCUCCACAUUUGACCCCACCCCCCAGGGGGAGCGGUGGAACCAUUUGUGGAACCAUCGUUAUCGGAACAAUCUGCAAGUGGCUUUUGAUUCAUGCUUUUCUCACCAUUCAACUUCUUUGAAAAAAGUUGAAAAAUGUUUAAAAACCGUUUGGUUCAAAUAUUAAUAUUGUUUCUGGCUAAAAAGGAAAACAAAUCAUUUUUCUUAAUUUUUAAACACAAACUUUUGUCAGUCGACUCACAUCACAUUUGCUUUCUAGAAUACCGGUAGUCAUAUUUACAGAUUCAAUUUGUUGCAGCCAAUUUACCCCCAUUAUCAUUCUUCUGCCACUGUGCUUGACAAUGGAGAUGAAUCCUCUUCUUUUUUUUUUUGGGUUUUUUUCCAAACACAAUUUUUUCUUGUUCAUCCUAACCUUCUUGCUCUUCUUAUUGUCAUUAAUGGGCUUCAAAACGUUGUCAUGCUCAAGAGACCUGGGUGUGAGAUGGAGAUUUUUGGAUGUUUUUCACUUGAUGUUGUCUUUGAUGUUGUCGCUUGAGAAAGUUGGCUUGACAAUUGUGCUAUAAAGCUCUUAAAUCCAUGAUAUUUGGAAAUGUUGUGCAGAUAUUACUCCCAAACAUUUGGCCAAGAUUGAGCCCAAGUCUUAAGAACAGGCAAGCUUGUUGAUACAUUCAAAAGAAUUCAUAAUUCAACUGUGCUUCAUUGCUGCCCAUACAGGAGACUUUAGGGAUGUCGACUCUCCAUGACUUCAGUGCAGCGGAAGGGUUUGAUACCUCGUCCUCGGUGGAUCCAGCUGAUUCUCGGGUGGAGAUGAGGCCGAGUCUGUCUCAGGAUGAACUGUCUCCCGUAGCAACAUCAGCCUCUCCUGUCUCCCCCCAGCCAUCCUUCGACUCGGAGGCAGCAGAGAAGACUGAUCUACCUCUCGGAUCUGAUACGGCACAAAUUCAAGAAAGAAAGAGACCGAGAAAGCUUUCACAUAAGGUGCUCGAAUGUACGAUUGAAGAAGUGUCUGCUGCUCCUGCUAGGAGGAAGGAGCAAAAGGGCCUUGCUGGCAUCACUUCAGACGUGAAGGUGUUGGUUAAGAAAACUCAGGUACUUCAGUAUAAAACAUUCAACUGUUUGUUUAGUUGUUGGGAAGGCUGCUAA
Molecule: long non-coding RNA, 1382 nt
Filed under: Oryzias sinensis (Chinese medaka)
Lineage: Eukaryota; Metazoa; Chordata; Actinopteri; Beloniformes; Adrianichthyidae
Description: lncRNA (ENSOSIG00000022547.1)
Source: RNAcentral